This is a long non-coding RNA of Myotis myotis, 895 nucleotides long. RefSeq lists it as uncharacterized. The record is from RefSeq and is a predicted model, not a curated record. The transcript has 3 exons. NCBI's taxonomy places the organism in Eukaryota, Metazoa, Chordata, Mammalia, Chiroptera, Vespertilionidae.
GGCGCGCCCUCUCUCCCGCCCACCUCCGCGCGCACUUCACCCGACCAGUCCCGGGGCGCAGACCCACCUCCUCCUCCAGGGUGCCGCCGGAGCCCGAGCCCGUGCCGGUGCCGGUGCCGGUGCUGUGCUCGUCGUCCGGCUUCAGGGGAUGGAAAAGAUUCAGAUGGCCUCACUCCUGAGAAAUGCUGCCCUAGGACCCACCCAGCAUCCUGAGGGUCUUUGGCUCCUGCCCCCAGGUUGCCCUUGCCGGCCCUCCCAGCCCCAGCUUGUACCUGGACGCCCUCCUCACUCUGCACCUUCCCAGGUGAGCUGGGGCUCUGCUUACCCAAUACAAGCCAGGGGAGGGAGGUGAGGGGCAGCCCGGGAGAAGUAUGCCGGGAGACCGUGAGGCUAAAGGAGGGAGCUGGAGCCAGGGGUGAGAGGCAUGGUCACGGCCCGCCCUGCAGGGCUUGUCUGGUACCUGGCAUUCACUCACUUCCCUCUUCAGUGUCUCCUUCCAAGCCUCUCCCCUUCCAUCGUGGCCCCUCCCAGCCGUUUAUGGCUCAGCGGGUGAUGCUCUUGGAAUCCUAAAGAAGUGGAGUUUUGAGUGUGGAAUUUCUGGGGCAAAGCUAGGGGCCAGAAGGCACCCCAUGUUUGCUCCUUUUUGCAAAGGCCCUGAACAUUGAGGUGAAGCCUCAGACACUGGGUGUCCACCCUGGCCUCACCAUCAGCCUUGAGACCUUGAGCUGCCCACCUGUGUCUGUCUCCUCCUCUGUAAAGUAGAUCUAAAGAUGGCCCUCAUACAUGCUUGAUGAGAAGAGGGACAGAGCUCUAGCCGGUUUGGCUCAGUGGACAGAGUCUCAGUCCUCGGACUGAAGGGUCUCGGGUUUGAUUUCUGUCAGGGACACGUACCUCA